CCUAUCACCAACUUUGACCUCUCCCUGAGCACCGGCACAUCUUUCACUGAAUUAUUGAGUAAGACAUUGUCCUAGGAACUUGGCAUAUACAUAACGACAAGAGCAAACAAGAGAGAUGCAGACUCUCUCCCUACUGGGCUUGCAGUCUAAUCGUAGACACAAAAGAUUACAACACACUGUCAUAAGACUAUAAUGGGGAAAGCUUAGGGCACUGUGGGAUGGCACAGGGAGACCAUCUACCUGGAUUUGAGGAUUAAGAACUUCCAAGGGGACAUGACACAAAAGCUGAAGCCUAAAGUAUUCCAUCUGCCCCUCUAACAUGCAGUUUGAGAGGAGCUAACCUUGACAAGAGCUUCAGAGCAUGAAGCUAAAUCAUCGCUGAAUAUGCAGAAGGAUGCCCCAAACCACAACCAUCAUUCCAGACUGGGAAGAUCCAGGAAAGGGGAGAAAUUGGGUGCUGCUCCUUGAAAGGAACCUUCCAAACAGUGGGCUCUACCUGCACUACACAUUGCAAUCACCAGCAGAGUGCUCAGAAAUCCCAGGCCAUGCCCCAGACCCAUGUAUCAGAAUCUCUGGGCCAAGACCCAGACACUGCGGUUUUUGAAAGCUACCCAUCAUUCCAAUAUGUGGCCAGAGUUGAGGAACUUUGCA
Molecule: long non-coding RNA, 651 nt
Filed under: Homo sapiens (human)
Lineage: Eukaryota; Metazoa; Chordata; Mammalia; Primates; Hominidae
Description: HSALNT0315541
Source: RNAcentral